RNAcentral lists this transfer RNA (69 nucleotides) under Glyptotermes sp. C TB-2014. Its description in RNAcentral is "tRNA-Pro". Lineage: Eukaryota; Metazoa; Arthropoda; Insecta; Blattodea; Kalotermitidae. The record is from RNAcentral.
CAGGGGGUGGUUUAAAAUUUAAAAUAUCAGUUUUGGAGAUUGAUGAUAAGUAUAAUUUCUUUCCCUUGA